RNAcentral lists this ribosomal RNA (1038 nucleotides) under Triticum aestivum (bread wheat). Its description in RNAcentral is "partial small subunit ribosomal RNA". The record is from RNAcentral. Lineage: Eukaryota; Viridiplantae; Streptophyta; Magnoliopsida; Poales; Poaceae.
UUGCAAACGCCAGAUCUACCGGACUAUCUAAUACCAAGACUAAAGAUGCGAUUCAAAGAUGUCGAGAAAGCAAGGGAAUUUUAUAACAGAUACGCCAGACACGCUGGUUUUGGAAUCAGGAAGACGGGUGGAAAUGACAACCACAAGUAUUUUGUUUGCGCCUUCCAAGGGAUACACACAUCUUCUGUUUCAGAGGCCAGCAGGAAGCGAAACAAAACAUUGCAGAGGACGGGCUGCAAUGCAAGAAUGAGGGUGAAGGUGCAGGAGGAUGGCACAUGCGUAGCAGUGGACAUUGAGUACAAUCAUAAUCAUCAGCUCAUGCAAACUGAUGACAUGCUGGUAUUUUUGUACUCACACAAGAAUUAUGACCCCACUAUUUUGGAGUACGUAAAGCUCCUGCAGUACCAUGAUGUCAAGCACACAACAAUCAUGUCCAUGCUAUCUGAAAAUGAAGAUGGAAGCUACUUCCUAAGAAUGACCGGACGAGACCUGCUAAACCAGAAAGCCAUGAAUGCAAGGAAAGAUGGUUUGGAUGAUGUAUUGAAACUUGUUUCAUUCUUCAAAGACAUGAAGGCGAUAAAUGAUGAGUUUUUCUAUGACAUCCAAUUGGACAAGGACAAGUCAAUUAAAAACAUUUUCUGGUCCAAUGCAAGCUACCGAGGAGCCUAUCAAGACUUCGACGAUUGCGUAACAUUCGACACGACUUACAAGACCAACAGAUUUCAUAUGCCACUGGGAGUGUUUGUUGGAACAAACCAUCACUUGUAGUCAACCAUAUUUGUUGUCGCCCUGAUAAGAGACGAAGAUGCAAAGUCAUUCAAGUGGUUGUCUGAUACAUUUCUACGGUGCAUGAACAAAAAGCACCCAACCUGCAUUCUAACAGACCAAUGCCCAUUGAUGGAGAUAGCUAUACCACAAUAAUUUCCAAACACCGUCCACAAGCUAUGCCGUUGGCACAUCUUGAAGAAGUACAGGGAGUACCUCGCGUUGCUGUACAAAAAGUGUAAAACAUUCAAAGAGGAGUUUGAAGAUGCCUAG